Molecule: ribosomal RNA, 419 nt
Filed under: uncultured bacterium
Lineage: Bacteria
Description: bacterial SSU rRNA
Rfam family: Bacterial small subunit ribosomal RNA
Source: RNAcentral
AGCGAACGCUGGCGGCAGGCUUAACACAUGCAAGUCGAGCGGGCGUAGCAAUACGUCAGCGGCAGACGGGUGAGUAACGCGUGGAAACGUACCUUUUGGUUCGGAACAACCCAGGGAAACUUGGGCUAAUACCGGAUAAGCCCUUACGGGGAAAGAUUUAUCGCCGAAAGAUCGGCCCGCGUCUGAUUAGCUAGUUGGUGAGGUAACGGCUCACCAAGGCGACGAUCAGUAGCUGGUCUGAGAGGAUGAUCAGCCACAUUGGGACUGAGACACGGCCCAAACUCCUACGGGAGGCAGCAGGUGGGGAAUAUUGGACAAUGGGCGCAAGCCUGAUCCAGCCAUGCCGCGUGAGUGAUGAAGGCCCUAGGGUUGUAAAGCUUCUUUUGUGCGGGAAGAUAAUGACGGUACCGCAAGAAUAA